RNAcentral lists this ribosomal RNA (716 nucleotides) under uncultured spirochete. Its description in RNAcentral is "bacterial SSU rRNA". It matches the Rfam family "Bacterial small subunit ribosomal RNA", at positions 637 to 1346 of the family's 1533-position model. Lineage: Bacteria; Pseudomonadati; Spirochaetota; Spirochaetia; Spirochaetales. The record is from RNAcentral.
UUAGAUAGAGUACUGUAGAGGAAGGCGGAAUUCCUGGAGUAGCGGUGGAAUGCGCAGAUAUCAGGAAGAACACCGAAAGCGAAGGCAGCCUUCUGGGCAGUAACUGACGCUGAAUAGCGAAGGUGUGGGUAGCAAACAGGCUUAGAUACCCUGGUAGUCCACACAGUAAACGAUGAUCACUAGGUGUUGGUGCCGAUAAAACGGCUUCAGUACCGCAGCUAACGCAUUAAGUGAUCCGCCUGGGGAGUACGACCGCAAGGUUGAAACUCAAAGGAAUUGACGGGGACCCGCACAAGCGGUGGAGCAUGUUGUUCAAUUCGAUGCAACGCGAAGAACCUUACCUGGACUUGACAUUGAUGGAAUCCUCUAUAAAUAGAGGAGUGUCCCUUCGGGGACCCUGAAAACAGGUGCUGCAUGGCUGUCGUCAGCUCGUGUUGUGAAAUGUUGGGUUAAGUCCCGCAACGAGCGCAACCCCUACCCUUAGUUACCAAUAUUAAGUUAGGGACUCUAAGGGGACUGCCAAGGUGACAACUUGGAGGAAGGUGGGGACGACGUCAAGUCAUCAUGGUCCUUAUGUCCAGGGCUACAAACGUGCUACAAUGGUCGGCACAAAGGGCUGCGAAGCAGUGAUGUGGUGCAAAUCCCAAAAAACCGGCCUCAGUUCGGAUUGGAGUCUGCAACUCGACUCCAUGAAGUUGGAAUCGCUAGUAAUCGCG